RNAcentral lists this ribosomal RNA (900 nucleotides) under Bacillus sp. (in: firmicutes). RNAcentral's name for it is "bacterial SSU rRNA". It matches the Rfam family "Bacterial small subunit ribosomal RNA", at positions 49 to 930 of the family's 1533-position model. The record is from RNAcentral. Lineage: Bacteria; Bacillati; Bacillota; Bacilli; Caryophanales; Bacillaceae.
CUAUACAUGCAAGUCGAGCGGACAGAUGGGAGCUUGCUCCCUGAUGUCAGCGGCGGACGGGUGAGUAACACGUGGGUAACCUGCCUGUAAGACUGGGAUAACUCCGGGAAACCGGGGCUAAUACCGGAUGCUUGAUUGAACCGCAGGUUCAAUUAUAAAAGGUGGCUUUUAGCUACCACUUACAGAUGGACCCGCGGCGCAUUAGCUAGUUGGUGAGGUAACGGCUCACCAAGGCAACGAUGCGUAGCCGACCUGAGAGGGUGAUCGGCCACACUGGGACUGAGACACGGCCCAGACUCCUACGGGAGGCAGCAGUAGGGAAUCUUCCGCAAUGGACGAAAGUCUGACGGAGCAACGCCGCGUGAGUGAUGAAGGUUUUCGGAUCGUAAAACUCUGUUGUUAGGGAAGAACAAGUACCGUUCGAAUAGGGCGGUACCUUGACGGUACCUAACCAGAAAGCCACGGCUAACUACGUGCCAGCAGCCGCGGUAAUACGUAGGUGGCAAGCGUUGUCCGGAAUUAUUGGGCGUAAAGCGCGCGCAGGCGGUUUCUUAAGUCUGAUGUGAAAGCCCCCGGCUCAACCGGGGAGGGUCAUUGGAAACUGGGGAACUUGAGUGCAGAAGAGGAGAGUGGAAUUCCACGUGUAGCGGUGAAAUGCGUAGAGAUGUGGAGGAACACCAGUGGCGAAGGCGACUCUCUGGUCUGUAACUGACGCUGAGGCGCGAAAGCGUGGGGAGCGAACAGGAUUAGAUACCCUGGUAGUCCACGCCGUAAACGAUGAGUGCUAAGUGUUAGAGGGUUUCCGCCCUUUAGUGCUGCAGCAAACGCAUUAAGCACUCCGCCUGGGGAGUACGGUCGCAAGACUGAAACUCAAAGGAAUUGACGGGGGCCCGCACAAGC